Molecule: long non-coding RNA, 2784 nt
Filed under: Homo sapiens (human)
Lineage: Eukaryota; Metazoa; Chordata; Mammalia; Primates; Hominidae
Description: HSALNT0101175
Source: RNAcentral
CCGUGCGCUCCCCGGCCACCGUCGCUCUGCCCUCGGCUCUCUGGGGCCGGGGAUUCCGGAUCGGGAGCCGGGAUGCGGGCCGGGGCGCGCACAGACGCUAGGCGGCCCAGCCCGGGCGCCGCUGGCACCGGCUCGCGGCUCCCGGCAAAAACCCGUCCGACUGGCUGGGCCACUCCCGCCUGACGCCCCCCCAGAUGACACGACUAGCUCUCCCGGCGUGCUGCCUUUGCCAGUCUACCCGCCAGGUUGUCAGAACAAGCGGCACCUCGCCUCCUGCGUGUCCCUACAGAGCCCCGGCACAAUCAGACUGCCCCAAGCCAGCUCCGAAACCCGAAAUCCCCGCUCCGGCGCUUGCCCACCACGGCCAAAGUUGUGGAAACAGCUUUGACUUUAUUCUCCUCUCUCUCUCAUCUUUUUUUGCCUCGCUUACACACGCAUUCACACUUGCCCCCACAGGAUCCCUCUAGGGGUGCAAGUUCAUCCCCCACCUAGCCACCCACCCCAUCCAGUCGGCACCUAGAGCCGCACGGAGGUUCGGACCCCGCCCGCCGAGGGCGCCCACACCUGGAGCUGGGUUUCGGCCUCUGCGAAAGUGAAAUGCCCAAGCCUCCGGCCAAAGCCCAGACCAGUACAGUAUGAAUUGUCCUAUGAGACUGAGGGGUUCGGCUUCAUUCCUACCUGCCCGCAAAGCUCGCCCCCAGCCUCGAAAACAAAGCGACUGGUCUGACGUGGGGUCCCUGCGCCCCUCCUCUAGCGCGACAGGACCCCCCCAGGGAAGAGCCAGUACCCGUGGGAUGUCACCCCGUCCCCAUCUACCGGGGUGGGGGGCCUGAAAGGAGAACGAUUUAAAAUAAUCUUCAGAAAGAAAAGGGAGGAGGGAGCGGGUGACACAUCGUUCACAUAAACCCAAUUUCUGGUUUCGAGUGAAGUCAAGAUCUCCGCCCCUGCGCCUGCACACACACCUCCUGCCUAACAUUCUCAGCUGCAAAUGCCAAAAAAGAAAAAAAAAAAAAACAGCAAAAGUUGGGACUGCCACCUAUUUAUUUAGGCACAGCCAAAAUUGGUCAGAAAGGGGAGUAAAGUGGGACACGAGCUUCAAAGUAGGGAAACCAAAGAAGGGAGCAUCCACGUCCUCUCUCUGCAGCUUCUCCCCCGCGUUCUUCGGGCGAAUCCGAGGGACGGGCGCUGCGCUGGGGAAAGUUUGUCCCACCCGCGUUUCGCAGCUGGUUGCAAGGAGAGGAGGAGGAGAGGGAGGGUCAAGCUCGGAGCCUGUGACCGCACGGAUGAUCGAGCCGGCGUCGCGCUUACCUCGCAGUCCUCGUACUUGAUAUUAUCCGUCAAUUUCCAAAGCAUUUUCAUGGAUCGGCGUGAACGGAUAUGCCCCUCUCGGUCUCGCACCCAAGUGGAGCUACUCUCUGGCCUAAUCGCCUCAUUAGCAUAUCAACAAUAGUCCAAUUGCUCGCCAGUACCACAAUCUGCCGCCGGCCGCUCCGACACAGGUAUAAAGGCCUCUCUACGCCGCGAACUUGCUUCUAGAGCGCACUCCAGCCUGCGAACUGAUAAAACCUUCCUCGAGCUCCGCCGCGAGGCCCUGCCCCAACACCCCCUCUCUUACCCCAAUUCCGCCACAUUCCCCUUCCUUUCUUUCUCCGCUUCCUUUUCUCCAGAGAUGCCUUCUGCAAAGCCCGGCACUGCUCAAGGUCCAAGCGCCACGCCUGGGGCCCAGCUUCUAGCACUUCUCCCUUAACCCUGCUACCACGAUCCGAGCUGCCCUUUUGGCCCCGUGCAAUUUUAUUAGAAAUCAUUAUCCCUUUCGCAAUUAAACAUAACCACCAAACCAAGACCGGCGAAGUCACUCCAGGAUUUUUUCCCAACAAGGGAUCGCCUCCGCUCGAGGCAGCCACCCCCUCGGGCCGCAGCGCCUUGGGAGUUUUAUUGGCUUUGAGCUUUCCCCCAGGUUGGAGAUUCUGCCAAGCGGCUCCGGUGGCUCUGCUGGGGUUUGCAAUCCCUUAAUUGCAGCGUGUAAAAUAAAAGUUGUACCCUGAAGAGGUUACUUGACAGCUCCAGGGGUUAAACAAUUUUUCUCCUGUUUGUGUGAAGCUAGGGCCAACUGACAGUUCAAAUUGGUGUUCAGGCUAAGGUUUCCUGGGUGCAACGUGGACACGAAUACAGAACUCCUAUGGAACUGCACACCCGCUUCUGAAGUUGAGCCUAAAAACAGACGUGUGUGUGCCUGCAAGUCUAGAUACCGUCUCGUGCGUGCAUCAAAAUAAAUCACCGGGAACCGACUUUUAGCUGUGUUAAUCUGCUCUAGUUUUCCCAAGAUUCCCCUUUUUAAUUAAAGCAGGGAGAGUUCCUUCAUGAUUUGGUGAUGCUACUAACGCGGGCGUGCUCGCGAGGCAGAGCCCGGCUGCCGCGGAACCUGGAGGCCUGGGAGCCACCUACUCGUCCAGACUGGUCAGUCCGGGCUUUUGGACUCCUCACCGGGGCCUGCUGGGUCCUCUGGGGCUUUUAUCCCUUUCGGUUUUGGGAUUUUUUUUUAAGUAAGAAAAAAAAAAAAGAAAAGGACCUAAUGUGACACUAGGAAAUACAGAGUAAUUAAUUUUCCUGGCUGAGCUUCCUCGUUUGUCCUCCAAAAGAAAGUUACCUCUGUCUUUUCUCUCUGCUAUAUGUACAAACUCCUUAACUACACUAGGUCCCGCCUCAGAGUUGCUCUAGUAAGGACCUUUGAUUCAUCUGGGCUUGUUUCUCGAAAAUCUCCAGGCCUCCCAUAUUUCCACCGGG